UUGAGAGGCUGUGUAACGUGUGGUUAGAUGAUGCUAGGGAUGAACUAGUGAUUGUCUAUGAAACUGUUAAGAAGUUGUGUAUCGAAUCUCAUGUUUCUAAGUAAUACAAAGUUAACAAGUUGGUUUAUGAACCACAUAUUCAAAUAUGACUUAGUAAAUAAAAGGCUUAAAAUGAAUCAAACAAGUAAAGAAAUUCAUAAGUAAGCAUUCGUAUCCAGUUUGGUCGAGAGGCUAGGAUCGGGUCUAACAAGUUGGUAUCAGAGCAUGCUUGAUUCUAGGAUAGUUGGGUUAUGUAGUCCACACACACGCAGCCAGCUGAUUAGGUCUCACGGUGAGGUUUGAUUGCUUUAGUCUAGGGAUUGUUUUGUCUCGUUUAUGUUAUGUAUGUUUCGUACUAACAAUGUCUGAAAUCCUUAGGCUGGAAAAAGCAAAUCGGGAAAGGUCCGAAAGAGUAAGGGAACGGCCGGUUGUGAGAACCGAAAUUCGCACUGUCGAUUUCCGUUUAAAUUAGGAAAGUAGGAGAACCCUAGUUUCCCAGAGGUCCCGGAUAUCUGCUAAUACCACACGCUAAGCAAUCAGAACACGAGAUAACAC
RNAcentral lists this long non-coding RNA (594 nucleotides) under Brassica napus (rape). Its description in RNAcentral is "long non-coding RNA (BNAP_LNC024031)". The record is from RNAcentral. Lineage: Eukaryota; Viridiplantae; Streptophyta; Magnoliopsida; Brassicales; Brassicaceae.